Molecule: transfer RNA, 73 nt
Filed under: Gebiacantha plantae
Lineage: Eukaryota; Metazoa; Arthropoda; Malacostraca; Decapoda; Upogebiidae
Description: tRNA-Tyr
Rfam family: tRNA
About the family: Transfer RNA (tRNA) molecules are approximately 80 nucleotides in length. Their secondary structure includes four short double-helical elements and three loops (D, anti-codon, and T loops). Further hydrogen bonds mediate the characteristic L-shaped molecular structure. tRNAs have two regions of fundamental functional importance: the anti-codon, which is responsible for specific mRNA codon recognition, and the 3' end, to which the tRNAs corresponding amino acid is attached (by aminoacyl-tRNA synthetases). tRNAs cope with the degeneracy of the genetic code in two manners: having more than one tRNA (with a specific anti-codon) for a particular amino acid; and 'wobble' base-pairing, i.e. permitting non-standard base-pairing at the 3rd anti-codon position.
Source: RNAcentral
AAUGAAAUGGCUGAGAUUGAUAAAUAGGCAUUAGAUUGUAAAUCUAAUUACGGGGAGGAGACCUCUUUCAUUA